RNAcentral lists this ribosomal RNA (247 nucleotides) under uncultured bacterium. Its description in RNAcentral is "partial 16S ribosomal RNA". It matches the Rfam family "Bacterial small subunit ribosomal RNA", at positions 15 to 254 of the family's 1533-position model. The record is from RNAcentral.
GAUCCUGGCUCAGGAUGAACGCUGGCGGCGUGCCUAAUACAUGCAAGUCGAGCGGAGUUGAGAAGCUUGCUUCUCAACUUAGCGGCGGACGGGUGAGUAACACGUGGGUAACCUGCCCUUAAGACUGGGAUAACACCGAGAAAUCGGUGCUAAUACCGGAUAAUUUGUUUGACCGCAUGGUUGAACAAUGAAAGGUGGCUUCGGCUAUCACUUAAGGAUGGACCCGCGGCGUAUUAGCUAGUUGGUG